This 964-nucleotide small RNA is filed under the name Oryza sativa Japonica Group (Japanese rice). RNAcentral describes it as "sRNA Os06g0337100". The record is from RNAcentral. Lineage: Eukaryota; Viridiplantae; Streptophyta; Magnoliopsida; Poales; Poaceae.
CUUGCAUUCACUGCUUCUGCUCGGCUGUGAACUUGGUGCGGAACCGCUUCCUCGGCAUCCCGGCGCCGCCGGAGGGAGGCGCGGUCGCCGCCGGCGACAUCACCUACAGCGGGAGCCUUUGCGCCUGCCCGCUCGAGCCCAGCGAGAGUAGCAUGUGCUGCGCCGAAGGGUAAUACGGCUGGUGCACCACCGGCGCCGGCAGGUGCGGUGGCGACGGCGGGGACACAGACCGCUCGUCGUAGUAUUCCGAGCCAUCCGAGUUGUUGUCAGACUCGUCGCCAUCAACCCCAGGGAGCCGGACCUCGGGCGUCUCCUCCUCGCGGUGCAGCUGGCCGUGGAGCACGUUCGCCGGCAUGGGCGGCGCGGGCAGCGCCAGCGGCGGAGGCGGCGGCGGGGACCCCUCCAGCAGCCAGCAGUGGAAGUUGCAGUGGCAGCCGCACGCGGCGCACAUGAGCGACGUCGGGUCGGUGGGUUCACCGCCGACGACGGCAUGAACUCCUCGCAGCCGUCCAGCGCCGUGUCCGCCCAGGCUCGCUGCGUGGUUCUUGGGGCACUCCUGGUACACCGUCUCUCCUCCGCCCACCGCCGGCUGUGCUCGUCGCAGCUGUAGCUACGGAGGGGUACAGCCCACAAGCUCCACCUCAGCCAUGUCUCCGGCGACGACGCGGACGAAGCUGGGCGACAGUGGCGCGGCGAGGUCGGGCGGCGGCACGACCUUGCGGUGCCCGGCGAGGAGUGGCGUAGCAAGCCGAGCAUUGCUCGGCGCGGCAUCCCGAGGCUGACGUACGGCGGAGGUGCGGCUGCUGACCGAGGUGGCGGCGGCGCUGAGCGCUGUGACGGAGAUGACGGAAAAGGAGGGGGAUAGAUGGAAAACUUGACGAGAGUGGCACGGUUCUAAUUUCUGUAAAAUUUUAAUGGCACGUUUACGAAUAAGCGAAUUAUAAUUGUAUUUUUCUGAAUGGCG